This 5434-nucleotide non-coding RNA is filed under the name Pan troglodytes (chimpanzee). Lineage: Eukaryota; Metazoa; Chordata; Mammalia; Primates; Hominidae. The record is from RNAcentral.
UUUUUAAAGUUCACAAACCCCUUGAACUUUAUCCAUGAGAUUUUCUGAUGACCCAAUGACUUAAUCCUGCUACUGACUUAAUCAAAACCCAGUCCCUACAGAAGAGACCUGCUCCCCCGUCACAGCGCCCCCCGGCUCCCCAUGCCGCUUAUUUUAAAAGCGCAGCUCCCACAGGCUGCCUUUCCUUCAGUUUCUGUCCAUGCCCCCAGCCCCAGGCUGCCCUCUCUUGGCAGCACCGUCCCACCCCGCCUGCUGCACUGAGCCCGCUGGGCCUGGGGGAUUCUUGCUCAGUAGAACCCGAGGCCAGCAAAAGCUCUUAGCCCAGGAUGGCUGCAGCAGCGACAGUCCUGAAGGCUACAGAGACACCUGGAAAGGGAACAAGGAGAGCACGACAGUCCCUGUGCUGAGGAUCCAGGGUGGUGGUGGCAGGGGUUAGUGUACAGUCUCGAGAAAACAGGGCGGCGGCAGGGGGCUGAACUGACCUCUAUACACCGAGAGGGUUUUUAAAGUUGAAUGACAAGGGCACAGCUACAGGAACGACCCCGGGAAGAAGUCCCGUGACGGCUGGAGUCAGAAGCCCCUGAAACAAGCACCUCCCCAGUGAGGCCCCACCCUGUACCCAGGGUGCUCAUGACCACCCCCCAGGCUCCGCAGCCUGGCCAGAGACCACCGAGGCCCCAGGAGGGGCUUCAGAGAUGGAGAUGAAGCUGCAUCUCCGAGCCAUGAGGCCCAGUGGGGCCCGGACAGAGGGAGCCUGGUGUUCACACACCACAUCUGUUUUCCAACAAAGUCAAAACACGCUGGGCCCUUUCAGAAGACCCCCAGCACCCGACACCUAAACUAAGACCCCAGGCGUCGGGCGAGGCCAGACCCAGGAGAUCACAGCCUGUAGCGGGGACAGAAAGAUGUGCACUCCUGGAAGCGUCCGGCAACUUCUCUCUUGUUCAAGUGGCACCCCAGGUCCAGAGCGGGGCUUGUGGGGAGAGGAGCACGGGGGCUUUGUCCUCGGAGGCACAGAGCUCCAAGCAAGGGCUGAGCAGCAGCUGGGAGUCUCCCGGAGGCCAGAACAUUACUGGCCCCGUGUGCACAUGCGCCUUCUUGGAGUCCCAAAAGGCAGAUACCACGUAUCCCACCAAAUAUCUACUUACAGAUUGGGAAAUUGAGGCAAAAAGCUCAGGCAAUUCCCACAAGGCCACAGAGCUGGUAAGCGGUGGGGUUGAGAUUCAGUGGCAACGGGCCGAGGUCUCCUGGGUGUGGUGUGGACCCUGAUGGUGAGCAGGGUGGGGACCUCCUCGAGCCCCCAUGGAAUCAGGCUGCUUACCAUCACCUUCUCCUUGGCACCGGCCCCUACCACCCUGCUGAAGACCCUCCUGGGCCUCUCCUCACGUCUCCUUUUCCUGCCCCUCUCUCAGGGGAGCUUUCCAAGCUGAUGGCCUGACUGUGCCACCCCAACCUGGCAUUUGAAGGCCUUCAGGAGUGAGGCCAUGUCCAUAACCCGCGUCUCCACUGAACCCUACGCCAGCCCCUACACGAGCCCCAAGCCUGGCUGCUGCUUUACGACACACCUCCAUACAGCCCCUGCCCUUCACCCCUGCCCAGGGAAAUUUAGUGGGCACAGCGCCUUGCCUGCUGCCCCACAGCGAAGAAUGCUGUCCUGCCAGACACCACAGACAGCAGUGGACACGCAUUCUUCCAGAACCAGCCCAGAUCCUGCCUCUAGGGUGAGUUGCCUGAUGGUUCUUGACUCCGAUCUCCUACCCGGUGCAACACGGGGAGGGUGCUGGCCCUGCCUGCCCUGGCUCCUCAAGAGCAGGCUGGGGUUGCCUUUCCCGAGGGGUCCCCACUACACCAGCCCCAGUGUCGGAGGGGUUGGGGGUCAGCGCAGAGGGUGGCACGUACCAAAGCCAAUGAGGCCCAGCGUCUCCCCACGGAUGCGGGCCGCUCCCGAGGCCACCUCGCGGAUCUGCUCCACGCUCUGAACCCGCGUGCCUUCCCGCAGUGCCUGGUACAGCCACGUGUUCCUCCGGUACAGAUUGAGGAUGUGGCAGAUGGUAGAGUCCGCUGUCUCUUCCACGGCUGCAGACGGGAUGUUGCACACAGCAAUUCCUGAAAGGGAUGAGGCCAAGGCCGGAGAUGAGAAAACCUCAAGAUCAGUGGGGAAGCCCCAGGGCUCCCAGCCCGCCCUCCUGAGACAUGGUUGUUGGCACUGGGGGAGGCCCACCUUAUCGUCUAGCAGACGCAGGGCUGGGCACGUGGGCGGUAGGCCCUCCGGCUCUGAUGCUUGGGAGGCUCUAGCCCCAACAUCUACCCCUCCCUCCCAAGGAGGACUUUUGCUCCAGGACGUGGCUCAUGACCAACCCAACCCCUAUGGCUGAUUUUGGGCCUGACUGGCUUCCUCCUGGGCUUGCACUGAGUCCCAAGAAAGGACCCGGAGUGGCAGGAAGCCAGCGGGCCUAAGACCAGACUCCUCCAAGUGGACCCCACUCAGCCUCAAACCCCUCAGGGUCUCCCUCACGGAGCUGGCAGGGUGACAAAGAAUGGCUUUUGGUUUUCAGGUAUGCUAACAGUUUGAUGCAAAAAACAUACGUUUUAAACAUACUGGUUUUAAAAAAACACCUCCACCCCCACAUGGAUGCAAGGGCUGGCCCCGGGAACGGAACCGAUGUCCGAAGCGUGUGCACAAUCGCCCCGUUGUCCUGUGCUCAGCACCCUGCUCUGCUGGGAAGAACUCAGAGCAGACGGGAUGCCCUCCCUGCCCCGUGGAGCAGCCUUCAGGUCAGGGCCGAGGGUGGCUUGGGGUGAGCCCUCUGGCCCCACACGAGCUGCAGAGACCAGGGUCAAGUAUCUCCCAGCACAAAGCAGCUGUGGCGUGGAGAGUUAACCCAAGUCAUAGGCAGAAAGGGCCCUGCCAUUUAUCCUCCUCAGCCAGAGGGUGUCUGGGGAAGAAUGAAUGACUGCCAGAUACAACAGGGGUGCAAGCAGGCAGAGGGCCAGGCUGGGAACGGCCCCUCCCUACACCCGACAGGUGGAGAUCCAGAGGCCUGCUUGCAGCAGAGACCAGAGGGGCCGAGCCAGGGGCGGGGCCCCAGAGGGUGGGCUCAGCAGCCAGCCUGUGGCUCCCAGUUGAGCUCUCUGAGGAGGGGUGUGGCUACCUGGGCAUCACGUCAGCCCAAGUGAAAAGGUUCCCUCCUAAUCCCAGGUUUGGGACCCUUAGGAGAGUGUCUCUCCCAGCAAGGGGUGCCCAAGGCACUGGGACAGGGCCACCUUUAAGGCAGCCCAGGAUUCCUCUAUCUUAAGUCCUGAAGAUUGGGGUGGGGACAGAUUGAGGUGGGGACAGAUUGGGGUGGGGACGGCAAUCACCAAGGCAGCUUCUUCGGCUCUACUGGACAGGAAACAAGACCAGUGGGUGCCACAAACCCACUUUCUAGACGGCUGCGUGGCUGUCUCCCCACAAGGGCCACCCCUAGGUCUAGGGCCUUGAGAGUGACCCGCUUAGCAAGACACACAGCUCAGAGAAGGUGAAGCCACUGUGAGCAGGUCACCCACCCACCCAACGUGGCCACUGAGGGCUCCUCUGGGCCACAGACACCUGCCAAGGGAACAGUGUGGUUGACUGUGACUGAGGCCGACCAACUUUCCCACGAGCUGGAUGCCAGGAAUCUUGCAGGAAACUGGCCUCAUUCAUUUGAAAUAGCUCAGCAGAGAAGCUGGGGCUUGAUCACAUGCCAUGUUAUUAUUAAGUCAGAUAGACUGAGGCUGAUGCCAGAGGUUCAAGAAAAUCUUUGGCGGCUGGGACAAUUUUCAUUCCUCGGGCAGGCUAAAGCCCAGCAGGGAGGCCCCGCAGCAGAAUCACCCUCAAGGACGCUGGCUCCGUGCUGCUGCCGGGGCUGGCUCGGCAGUGCUGCCUGGCGUGAACAGCAGCACCUCCUCCUAGGAGAUGAGCUGAUGCUGGCUGAGAGACCCCACAAGGCCACGUGUGUAAAGGCACCCGGGUGGGUGUGGCACAUAAAGGCAGGUUGAGGCAGGACAUCUGUUCAGUCUUCUCACCGAACUUGGACAUUCAGCUCCUUGGUUCCACUGCUCACCGGAGUGCAGAGUCCCAGGACGGGGAGAUGGUGCAGGAGGAAGAGCUGCGGCCACUGCCUGGGAUGGUAGAACCUUCCCACCCAGACCGCAGCGGCGCCACUGCCAGGAACCUCCAUAACCUCACCGCUCUCUCGGAGGGAGCAUCUUCUUAGCUGUCCUAUAUCGCUCUGUGGAUGCGGCCUCCCUUCUGGAUGAGUCAAGCUGAUCCUUCAAGUGCCACACGAUGGUUGGCUCUGAUACUCGCAGGCUGGGCCUCCCAGCGUCCACGGAGCCCGGAAAACGGCCCCAAAGAGGCAAGCUGCUUUUCUCUCACGGUCAGUGCCAUCGUGCUUUAAUCCCUUCAUGACUGCCGCUGCCACGGAAACCACAUAAACCAGCUUGCUAGAGGCGGCGGGGGUGGGGAGGGGUGUAGGGCUCUCUCGAGGUCUUCCCAGCUCGUGGGGAGAAGUGCAGGUGAGCAGCUUCCUCAAGCCUCGCCCUGCUCUUGCCGUGAAGCGCCGACUCUCGCCUGUCAUUCCAGGGCUGACAGCUCAGAGCCUUGCGAUCCCAGAAGGUGUCACCAGAGGCCUAGUGUGCUGCCUCGUGCAACAUGGAGGGCCCUGUUUUCUGGGCCUGCGAGGGACCCUCUUUCAUCAGGAGAGGGCCUGCCUGCAGCCACCUGCCGCUCCCAGCCCUCAGCACAAAAGGCCCGCUGACCGCAUGAUGUGGGGAAUAUGCAUUCGGAGACAAAGGACGUCUGGACAGAGGCUCAUUUUCCGCCUCCAGAGUCUACAUUCGAAAAGUGUCCUUUAAAAGGGCCCCGCAGAUGUCUUCCAAGCGCCCUUAUCAGAUGGGACCAGGAUCAAUGAAAAUCCACCACUCACAGCCCUUCUACAUUUUCCAAAACCGCAGUCCCUGGUCCUGGUCGUCUUCUGUGGGUCUUAGAACUCAGGGAACACAACGUCCCAUCUCGGCCCUCCCAGGCCCCCCGUCAUUGAGGCCUUGGUGCCUUUCUGGCCCCACUGCCUGUGCGGGGCACUUCUAGAAAUGGGAAGUUCCACCGGCAAGGACCUCCCCUCUCUCCCUGGAAAGCAGCGUCUGGUCCAGCCGAGGAAGGGCAGGGUCAGCACCUGUAUGGGCCUGGGAGCUGUGUGGUGAGGGGCCGACGUGCUGGAGAAGCAAGAGGUGUGCGGGGGACAAGGAUUUGAGAGCCCCUGGCACAUGAAGCUGUAUUCUCCUCUGCUGUUGAAACUUGGGAUUUCAGCUCUACCCAGAGCACAAAGGACAUUUGUUUUCAAACAAAAAUAUCCUUGUUUGUGCCAGGGAAAGAUGGAAAAUUUUAGUUUAUAUUAAACACGCCUUUGAAGAC